Molecule: ribosomal RNA, 448 nt
Filed under: Enterococcus faecium
Lineage: Bacteria; Bacillati; Bacillota; Bacilli; Lactobacillales; Enterococcaceae
Description: bacterial SSU rRNA
Rfam family: Bacterial small subunit ribosomal RNA
Source: RNAcentral
CAUGCAGUCGAACGCUUCUUUUUCCACCGGAGCUUGCUCCACCGGAAAAAGAGGAGUGGCGAACGGGUGAGUAACACGUGGGUAACCUGCCCAUCAGAAGGGGAUAACACUUGGAAACAGGUGCUAAUACCGUAUAACAAUCAAAACCGCAUGGUUUUGAUUUGAAAGGCGCUUUCGGGUGUCGCUGAUGGAUGGACCCGCGGUGCAUUAGCUAGUUGGUGAGGUAACGGCUCACCAAGGCCACGAUGCAUAGCCGACCUGAGAGGGUGAUCGGCCACAUUGGGACUGAGACACGGCCCAAACUCCUACGGGAGGCAGCAGUAGGGAAUCUUCGGCAAUGGACGAAAGUCUGACCGAGCAACGCCGCGUGAGUGAAGAAGGUUUUCGGAUCGUAAAACUCUGUUGUUAGAGAAGAACAAGGAUGAGAGUAACUGUCAUCCCUGAUCGG